This 253-nucleotide ribosomal RNA is filed under the name uncultured bacterium. Its description in RNAcentral is "partial 16S ribosomal RNA". It matches the Rfam family "Bacterial small subunit ribosomal RNA", at positions 524 to 776 of the family's 1533-position model. The record is from RNAcentral.
UACGGAGGAUGCAAGCGUUAUCCGGAAUGAUUGGGCGUAAAGCGUCCGCAGGUGGCAAUGUAAGUCUGCUGUUAAAGCGCGAGGCUUAACUUCGUACAGGCAGUGGAAACUGGGUGACUGGAGUAUGGUAGGGGUAGCGGGAAUUCCCAGUGUAGCGGUGAAAUGCGUAGAUAUUGGGAAGAACACCAGCGGCGAAAGCGCGCUACUGGGCCAUUACUGACGCUCAUGGACGAAAGCUAGGGGAGCGAAAGGG